GGGUGAUUAGCUCAGCGGUAGAGCGCUGUCCUCACACGACAGAUGUCACAGGUUCAAAUCCUGUAUCACCCACCA
This 75-nucleotide transfer RNA is filed under the name Elusimicrobiota bacterium. RNAcentral describes it as "tRNA-Val". It matches the Rfam family "tRNA". Rfam says of the family: Transfer RNA (tRNA) molecules are approximately 80 nucleotides in length. Their secondary structure includes four short double-helical elements and three loops (D, anti-codon, and T loops). Further hydrogen bonds mediate the characteristic L-shaped molecular structure. tRNAs have two regions of fundamental functional importance: the anti-codon, which is responsible for specific mRNA codon recognition, and the 3' end, to which the tRNAs corresponding amino acid is attached (by aminoacyl-tRNA synthetases). tRNAs cope with the degeneracy of the genetic code in two manners: having more than one tRNA (with a specific anti-codon) for a particular amino acid; and 'wobble' base-pairing, i.e. permitting non-standard base-pairing at the 3rd anti-codon position. Lineage: Bacteria; Pseudomonadati; Elusimicrobiota. The record is from RNAcentral.